AUUGAACGCUGGCGGCAGGCUUAACACAUGCAAGUCGAACGAGUGGCGGACGGGUGAGUAAUGCUUGGGCAUCGGGCUUAUGGAGGGGGAUAAGGAAGGGAAACUGUCGCUAAUACCGCGUACCAUAGGAUGAGCCCAAGUGGGAUUAGGGAGGUGGUGGGGUAAUGGCCUACCAAGCCGACGAUCUCUAGCUGGUCUGAGAGGAUGGCCCGGCACCCCGGGACUGGUACACGUCCCGGACUUCUACGGGAGGCAGCAAGGGGGAAUCUUCCGCAAAUGACGAAAGUCUGACGAAGCAACGCCCCGUUAGUGAUGACGGCCUUCGGGUUUUAAAGCUCUGUUAAUCGGGAGACGGUACCGGAAUAGAAAGCCACGGCUAACUACGUGCCAGCAGCCGCGGUAAUAC
Molecule: ribosomal RNA, 406 nt
Filed under: uncultured bacterium
Lineage: Bacteria
Description: partial 16S ribosomal RNA
Rfam family: Bacterial small subunit ribosomal RNA
Source: RNAcentral